Molecule: ribosomal RNA, 372 nt
Filed under: Triticum aestivum (bread wheat)
Lineage: Eukaryota; Viridiplantae; Streptophyta; Magnoliopsida; Poales; Poaceae
Description: partial small subunit ribosomal RNA
Source: RNAcentral
AUGAACCCGAGCGGAAGGGCCAUCUCAACUUGCCAGCUCGCCUGGCCGGCAUCCGUAGGUGAGAGGUCAUCCAAAUUUGGACGUCGUGCCUCCUCCGGUCCUCCCUCCAUGCCGGUUGUUCCUUCCUCUGCAACAACACACAGGACGUCACAUGGAUUGAUUCAUUGGCUGGGACGAGAACCAAGACAAGAUACGCUACUGCAAAAUCAACAUGGAGUUUGCCCUCUGAAUGACAUGUGUUCUGGAACUAAUGAUUUCCUGAUUCUAUUGCUAUGUAGUGCGUGUGUACUCAUUAAUCAACCCCGUAGGAGUAGGUUGUCAGAAAGAAAAGAAAAUGCCUUCAGGUUUGCUUCUAUAAUUUUGACACUAUAA